RNAcentral lists this ribosomal RNA (385 nucleotides) under uncultured bacterium. RNAcentral describes it as "partial 16S ribosomal RNA". It matches the Rfam family "Bacterial small subunit ribosomal RNA", at positions 355 to 730 of the family's 1533-position model. The record is from RNAcentral.
UGGGGAAUUUUGGACGAAUUGGGCGAAAGCCUGAUCCAGCAAUGCCGCGUGUGUGAAGAAGGCCUUCGGGUUGUAAAGCACUUUUGUCCGGAAAGAAAUCCUUGGCUCUAAUACAGUCGGGGGAUGACGGUACCGGAAGAAUAAGCACCGGCUAACUACGUGCCAGCAGCCGCGGUAAUACGUAGGGUGCAAGCGUUAAUCGGAAUUACUGGGCGUAAAGCGUGCGCAGGCGGUUUGCUAAGACCGAUGUGAAAUCCCCGGGCUCAACCUGGGAACUGCAUUGGUGACUGGCAGGCUAGAGUAUGGCAGAGGGGGGUAGAAUUCCACGUGUAGCAGUGAAAUGCGUAGAGAUGUGGAGGAAUACCGAUGGCGAAGGCAGCCCCCU